This 58-nucleotide microRNA precursor is filed under the name Python bivittatus (Burmese python). Its description in RNAcentral is "Pbv-Mir-122_pre stem-loop". The record is from RNAcentral. Lineage: Eukaryota; Metazoa; Chordata; Lepidosauria; Squamata; Pythonidae.
UGGAGUGUGACAAUGGUGUUUGUAUCCAAUCUCUCAAACGCCAUUAUCACACUAAAUA